UCCUACGGGAGGCAGCAGUAGGGAAUCUUCCGCAAUGGACGAAAGUCUGACGGAGCGACGCCGCGUGAGCGAAGAAGGUCUUCGGAUCGUAAAGCUCUGUUGUUAGGGAAGAAGAAGUACCGUUCGAAUAGGGCGGUACGGUGACGGUACCUAACGAGAAAGCCCCGGCUAACUACGUGCCAGCAGCCGCGGUAAUACCA
Molecule: ribosomal RNA, 200 nt
Filed under: uncultured Parageobacillus sp.
Lineage: Bacteria; Bacillati; Bacillota; Bacilli; Caryophanales; Anoxybacillaceae
Description: partial 16S ribosomal RNA
Rfam family: Bacterial small subunit ribosomal RNA
Source: RNAcentral